Fukomys damarensis (Damara mole-rat) is the source of this 107-nucleotide small nuclear RNA. The record is from Ensembl. Lineage: Eukaryota; Metazoa; Chordata; Mammalia; Rodentia; Bathyergidae.
GUGCUCACUUCAGCUGCACAUAUACUAAAAUUGGAAUGAUACAGAGAAGAUUAGUAAGGCCUCUGCCCAAGGAUGACACACAAAUUCCUGAAGCAUUCCACAUUGGG